CUAGCUUAACAAUAAAUAUGUAUACGUUCACAUAAAGAUAAUUCUCUGUAACUGUGGAGUAAGCCUCAAGGAAUCUCCUCUUCCUUCUCUGGGGACUAUAGAACAAAUCAAUGGAGGUUCAAGAACAAGAUACGCGGAAAAAGCGACCUGAGUUCUCUCCCAUUUUCAUAUUCAUCGUUUUCCUUGGUCUCUUCGCGUUUUUCCUUUGCCUCGCGUCUGAGUUUCAGAAGGCUAAGGGGAAAGAUCUGAAAUGGGAUGGAGAAUCAUGUUAUCUUCCCGAAAGUCAUGCUUUCAAGUUUGGAACCGCUGCUCUGGUUUGUGUUUCAGUUGCUCAGAUCAUUGGAAAUGUUGUGAUCUGUAGAGGUUUCUUGAAAACACACAAAACGGAAUCGACGCCAUUUUGUCUAUUUCUUCUGUUGUUUUCUUGGGUUAAUUUUGCGGUUGCGGUUAUGUUGACGACCGUUGGUGCAAGCAUGAACAGAGAGCAGAUAUACGGCAAAGGGUGGCUAAACGGUGAAUGUUACCUUGUGAAAGACGGUCUGUUCGCAUCAUCGGGCGUUCUGUGCGUUUCAGCACUGGGUGCAGUUCUUGGAGCGUUUGCAUCCAACGUCAAAUCAUCAUCACAGGUUGACACUCAAAACAAAAUUCUUACCCACAAUGUGUAGUAAUUCUCUUUUUUUUUUCUGCCCCUUAUAACUCUGAAAGUUAACUUGAAAACAAAGAAAUACGAUCAGAUAUGACAAUACGAUACUCAUUAGAUCGGUUGUUUAAGUGUUACAUAUGAUUUUUAUGUGUGCCCAUAUCAUUUUUGUCUAUUUUCGCGUUUAUGAUUGUGUUUACAUCAGCAUAUCAUUUUAAUAUAUACUUGUAUAUAUAUAACGACCAGAAGUAGUUUCAAACAUUUUAAUCCGUGUAUUUACGUUUAUAAAUUGCAAAUGCUAUUCGAUAAUUUUUGUUUUGUUUGUUUUUUACAUAAUCCGCGUUUACAAAAAAAAAUGUGCGUUUUCACUUUUGUGGCCAACCGAAACGUGUUUUGGCGAGGACAGUGAAAUAAAGAGAUGUUGACAGUGCGUCUAGUGUGAUGGAGACUGACCAUCUUCUAAUUUAAAUUGAUACCACUAGGCCAAAUGGCCAGUACAUCCAAGGCAACAGAAACACGUCUUGGGAUAUACACGUCCCUACCGCAAUGUAUAAAAGAAAGAAUAAACAGCUAAAUAUCGUUUUCUUGUUCUUUAAGCAAUCAUUUCUUGCCCUUGGUGACAAAAAGAAAGUUCCUAGGUUACAUCACUUCAAAAUGUUUCAGGAUAUGCACACUUUAUUAGCUGCAGAAGAAAGAAGUCUCAAAAACGAAAAAAAAAAAAUCCUCAUCUUUCUGAUAGAAUCUGUAACGAAACACACCCACAAAGGAGAAACUGAUAAUUCCUUCAGUAAUAAAACAGA
Molecule: RNA transcript, 1440 nt
Organism: Brassica rapa (field mustard)
Lineage: Eukaryota; Viridiplantae; Streptophyta; Magnoliopsida; Brassicales; Brassicaceae
Gene name: protein MODIFYING WALL LIGNIN-1
Source: RefSeq, a predicted model, not a curated record